Molecule: long non-coding RNA, 2591 nt
Organism: Lagopus muta (rock ptarmigan)
Lineage: Eukaryota; Metazoa; Chordata; Aves; Galliformes; Phasianidae
Exons: 6
Source: RefSeq, a predicted model, not a curated record
CUAAAGGGAGGACGUCUCCUGGAUGAGGCUGCUUUUUGAGAGGGAGAGGUCUGCAGCCAGAGAUCCAAUCACUAGUUGUUUCUAGCACAGAGAUCAGACCACAGCACUACAGUGUACAGCACAUUACCUCAAACUGGCUCAUGGCAAAAUUACCAAGUUACUCAGAUCAUUCUCAGUGAACCUGGCACUUAUUUCUUUAACAACAAAGUCAGAUCAAUGCUGAAUGCCUUUGAAAAAUCAAACCUCUGAUGUACAACCCAGCAAAGCAUGAACAAUUACAAUCUUUGACGUUUUCCUACUGGCUUGUAGAAGGAGAGCUACCCACAGAUGUCAUGCAACUGCAACACACAGGCAAUACUUCAUGCUAGUACUGAAAAGACAACCUGAAGGAAAGAGCAGGUGGAACGGUGUGGAGCAGGUUGUGUAUGAAUGUGUACUGAGGACAAAGGCAACUGGAAGUGGAUAUAAACCUAGAAAUAGGCAGAUGAGAAAAAAUAAAAUAAAAAAAUAAUCAGGAGAACUCCGACAAAACCUAGAAGCCAGCAACUGGCUUGAUGUGCUGCCAGGGAUACUGAGGAUUACUGAGCCUGGGGAGCCACCACCAUCAUUGUGCUUCUGCCAGAUUCCCUGAUCUGCAUAAAACGUUCCAAACUGUCACUCUGGACUACCAGGGAAGCUGGUCGUUAAGGUUAUUCAAAAUGAGAAGCUCUAUUUUCAGUGUCUUUUGAUUUUGUGAAGCUUAAAUAGAGUGAACUGAAAUAGCUUGGAUAGCUACUUCACGCUGAUGACUUUUUCACUGCAAUUCUCACAAUAUUUAAAAACUUGAACCAAGUACUUUGUACAUUUCUAUAUACCAGAUGCAUGUGCUGUUAACCUGAAGGAAAAGACCUCACUCCUGUGCCAAGAUGGGGAUCAGUAAAUAAAAUGAAUAGUUCUCCUUUUUAUAUCUUAAGAAUACAUUAACAGUCCUUGAAAGCUACUCUGAGAACAAAUAUUUGCCCGCUUAACUUAAAAAGCUGUAACUAUUAGGAAAAGCUUACCUGUACUCCCCUCCUCGUUCCUAUUUUAGAUUUAACUGUGUGACCAAACUUUUACCCUUUAUUUAAAGCAGAAAGAAAAGCGAGGGAAUUUUUGAAUGAAGAAGGUGAGUAUCGCUGCUAGCAGCUGGAAACUCCAGAUAACCAGAUUUAUUCACAGGCUAUAGAUCUUUCUGUACUUGUUACUCAAACUGCUUUCUACAAGAACAGCCAAGAGUUCCUUACUUCCUUGUGUCCAGCAUGAGAGGCAGGAAACCAAAUGUUCAGUGAUGCUGCACAAACACAUGGAAACCCCAAGAUACUUACACAAGGUAUUUAUUUUGGACAAAUAAAAAUGCAAACCACACCACCAUGCCAGGAUCUAGGCUUUUUACAAUAGGCUGUGUCUUCAUAGUAACAGCCUUCCUCUCCCUCUGUCUUGUUUCCCAUUCUAUAAAAUGGAUAAAAUUAUAUUGAAACUAAAUCACCAUUUCAAUCAUUAGUGACAAAGGACAGUAGAAAUACCCAUGAAUCUAACAAAUCUAUCUGCAGGCAGUGCUUAAAUGAUGUGUAUUAAGAAGGAUUUACUGAAGGGGAUAAAAGAGAAUGACCAGUAGGAGGCUGGUGUCUAUUGGAAAACUGACCACCGCAUCCUGCAAUAACAUACAUGCAGAAAUACUGAUACAAAAGCUGACAAAAACUUUAUUACUAAUUCUAAUAUCUUUUAAAUAUACUAUUAUAUGUUUCCUUAUUUGGUUCUAGUUACCUCUACAUAGCACACGCAAUGGCAUCCACAAAUUAUGCUACAAGUCCUCUGCUUGAUCAAUACCACUCAUAUUUAUCAAACAAUUUUUGGACCUUGUGAGAAACAGUACUGGAAAACAGCUUAAUCUGUAUCAUAUAUCAGAAUCUUCCCUGUGACAUGGCCCCCAGAUUACAGAAGUAAGACUGUAUGUUUAUCACAGUAUGCUGAAGUACACCGGGUAGACAGUACAAAGCAUCACAUUACUGCUGCUUUUCAUAUAUAUCUAUUUACAGCCCAAGUGUACACAGCCAGCCCUCACUUUGCAAGGGUUUAUCCAACACAGAGACACAGGAUUUGGCUCCCAGCAGACACUGCCUGGGUCUGGCAGUUUUCAUUAGCAAAGACACAGCAGUAUGUGAACGCAGCCAUCUGGCUUCCAACAGAAGGCCAAUUCUGGCAGAAACAACGUUACUUUUUGUGGUGCGUAUGUGCCAAGGCAGCAAGCACUGCGACCCACAGCCAGCUCUUGCAGAAUAAGCUCCAUGAUGCUCCUAGAACAACAAGGCAUGACAUAGUGUGACCACUGAUGUGCAGAUCAACCUCAGCUGUGUGUCUUCCCUCAUCACCUGUUCUGCAAAACAGCUCCCACAGGUUUACUCAUGAACAUUUUCUCAUUGGUGUCUGAUAUACUGACUGAGACAUGUUUGGGUCUGCUGCUGCAUCACAUCUGAACUCCUCAGGAUGCUCAUCUAGGCUGGGGGGCAGCACAAAGCCAUCCCCCACUGAUGCUGCCAUGACAGAGACCAGGGACAGUGCAGUCUCCCAAGUCA